Molecule: ribosomal RNA, 443 nt
Filed under: uncultured bacterium
Lineage: Bacteria
Description: partial 16S ribosomal RNA
Rfam family: Bacterial small subunit ribosomal RNA
Source: RNAcentral
CCUACGGGAGGCAGCAGUGGGGAAUAUUGGGCAAUGGGCGCAAGCCUGACCCAGCAACGCCGCGUGAAGGAAGAAGGCUUUCGGGUUGUAAACUUCUGUUGGCAGGGACGAAACAAGUGACGGUACCGGAGGAAUAAGCAACGGCUAACUGCGUGCCAGCAGCCGCGAUAAUACGUAGGUGGCAAGCGUUAUCCGGAUUUACGGGGUGUAAAGGGGGCGUAGGCGGGGAAGCAAGUCAGAAGUGAAAACCACGGGCUCAACCUGUAGCCUGCAUUUGAAACUGUUUUUCUUGAGUGCAGGAGAGGCAAUCGGAAUUCCGUGUGUAGCGGUGAAAUGCGUAGAUAUACGGAGGAACACCAGUGGCGAAGGCGGAUUGCUGGACAGUAACUGACGCUGAGGCGCGAAAGCGUGGGGAGCAAACAGGAUUAGAUACCCGAGUAGUC